RNAcentral lists this ribosomal RNA (1539 nucleotides) under Triticum aestivum (bread wheat). RNAcentral's name for it is "partial small subunit ribosomal RNA". The record is from RNAcentral. Lineage: Eukaryota; Viridiplantae; Streptophyta; Magnoliopsida; Poales; Poaceae.
UGCUCGAGAGAAGGGGCGAGGAGAGAGAGAGCCAAGCGACACUCUGCGUCUUUAAGGGGUGAGGAGGGUGGGUUUAGAGUACCUGGUCAACACUAAUUCCUUCCCGCGCCGGCCGCCCCUUGGCACCGGCACUAACCUACCCCAGCAGCUCCUGGUACCGCCGCCUCGUCCGGUACAGGUCCGUGGCCUAGCUGUCCGAGAUCCGCGUCUAGAUGUUCGUGGCCCGCGGUAGGGGCAGCCGCCGGGUGUGCAACGACGAGGUCGUGGGCGCCGUCAUCUUCACCCGCGCGGGCUGUCUGGAGUAGAGCAGUCCCCGCAGGUGCAGCUUCAUCUACAGCGCCCGCACCCCGCGUAGCAACUGCCGGUAUCUCUGCUGCUACGGCAGAUGCCCUUCCGGCUGUUGCAGCGCGCACACGUCGAGCAGGCUCGUGGUGAUGAGGGUCUGCGGAACCCGCGAGGUAAACUUCACGGCCUCGUACCGCAGCAGAACCUGCUGUACUCUGUUUUAAAAGUCACGUUCCCCCGUUCAACAUAGGUGGUGAAUCCGUUAAAAGUCCUUUUAUGACCGAACACUAACUAAGAUGUUGACUUGACCUGACGUCAACGAGAUGUAGCUCUUAACAACCCCGGAGGUAACAUCCCACUAACGAGUCGGGCACAGUUCCUUAACCUACCUACCUACAACCGACUUGACUUAACCUACCUACAACCGACUUAACGAGUCGGGCACAGUUCUUUCGAAGUCUGUUUUUCUAACGAGUCGGGUACAGUUGACUUGACUUAACCUACCUACAACCGAUGGCCGGCCGACUACAUCGUCCUUUCCUUUCAAGUCCGGCUCCAACGUGUAAUACGUUACGCGGCUACUUCUUCGUUGCUUAAAAGUGAUCAUGAGGAUCAUAAUACCACGCUGCUACUCCCUACGUGUUUGUUCGACACCGGUCACCCUCUCCGUUCCCCUGGACAAGUGGCGACGUUCUCCCUACAGCUUCCUUGGUUUUCACCUUCGAUCGUAUCGCUGUGGUACAAGUAAACAGAAGUUCUCCACAUCACGUUUUUUUACUAUGAUCAACGGGCCCCUGGUCCACGAAAAAAGAGAAGCUACCCACCAGUGUGUUCUGCUACCCCACCUUCUUCUUUCUUCUCCCUCUCCUUCUUCCCGCACCCCUGUCGAACCCUCUCUUCUUCUUUCCUCUCUCCCCCGUUACGAAAACCACUUCGCGCACUUCCCUCCCUCUCUUCGACCCACCUGCCUCCCUGCACACUCUGCCACUUGGGAAAGGAAAGGUUUAGACCUGACUCCCCCUGGUUUUGUAUGGAUUAUACCCUCCGACGGUCCCCCGUGAUCGCCCGUGUGCAAACGGUCGAUCAUCUGCGCAGGUUUUUUAUUUGUUUCAGGAGUAUACACCGUAAAGUGGUAGUGUAUACACCACACCUAUUCUAGCGAUGAACAGGAGUUAUUUAGAACUGUGGCUGUUUUGUUGAGCUGGGAGGGCUUAUUAACUUGGCUAGAGCCGUGGUUAACUUUGCCUUAACGUG